Molecule: ribosomal RNA, 793 nt
Filed under: uncultured archaeon
Lineage: Archaea
Description: bacterial SSU rRNA
Rfam family: Archaeal small subunit ribosomal RNA
Source: RNAcentral
ACGGCUCAGUAACACGUGGAUAACCUGCCCUUGGGUCCGGCAUAACCCCGGGAAACUGGGGAUAAUUCCGGAUAACGCAUAUAUGCUGGAAUGCUUUAUGCGUCAAAUGGAUUCGUCUGCCCAAGGAUGGGUCUGCGGCCUAUCAGGUAGUAGUGGGUGUAAUGUACCUACUAGCCAACGACGGGUACGGGUUGUGAGAGCAAGAGCCCGGAGAUGGAUUCUGAGACAUGAAUCCAGGCCCUACGGGGCGCAGCAGGCGCGAAAACUUUACAAUGCGGGAAACCGUGAUAAGGGGACACCGAGUGCCAGCAUCAUAUGCUGGCUGUCCAGGUGUUUAAACUACACCUGUUAGCAAGGGCCGGGCAAGACCGGUGCCAGCCGCCGCGGUAACACCGGCGGCCCGAGUGGUGGUCGUGAUUAUUGGGUCUAAAGGGUCCGUAGCCGGUUUGGUCAGUCCUCCGGGAAAUCUGAUAGCUUAACUAUUAGGCUUUCGGGGGAUACUGCCAGGCUUGGAACCGGGAGAGGUAAGAGGUACUACAGGGGUAGGAGUGAAAUCUUGUAAUCCCUGUGGGACCACCUGUGGCGAAGGCGUCUUACCAGAACGGGUUCGACGGUGAGGGACGAAAGCUGGGGGCACGAACCGGAUUAGAUACCCGGGUAGUCCCAGCCGUAAACGAUGCUCGCUAGGUGUCAGGCAUGGCGCGACCGUGUCUGGUGCCGCAGGGAAGCCGUGAAGCGAGCCACCUGGGAAGUACGGCCGCAAGGCUGAAACUUAAAGGAAUUGGCGGGGGAG